RNAcentral lists this ribosomal RNA (774 nucleotides) under uncultured Neocallimastigales. Its description in RNAcentral is "partial large subunit ribosomal RNA". It matches the Rfam family "Eukaryotic large subunit ribosomal RNA", at positions 23 to 634 of the family's 3401-position model. The record is from RNAcentral. Lineage: Eukaryota; Fungi; Neocallimastigomycota; Neocallimastigomycetes; Neocallimastigales.
GAGAGAGACAUGCGCGCAUAUCAAUAAGCGGAGGAAAAGAAACUAACAAGGAUUCCCUUAGUAACGGCGAGUGAAGCGGGAAGAGCUCAAAUUUGAAAUCUUCAAGGUUUUACCUUGACGAAUUGUAGUUUAAAGAAGUGUUUUCUGCUGAGGUUUUGGUAAAAGUUCUUUGGAAUAGGACAUCAUAGAGGGUGAGAAUCCCGUAUUUGACCAUUAUUUUCAGCUUUGUGAUACACUUUCAAAGAGUCGGAUUGUUUGGGAAUGCAGUCCAAAAUGGGUGGUAAAUUUCAUCUAAAGCUAAAUAUUGGCGAGAGACCGAUAGCGAACAAGUACCGUGAGGGAAAGAUGAAAAGAACUUUGAAAAGAGAGUUAAACAGUGCGUGAAAUUGUCAAAAGGGAAGCGUUUGACACCAGUGUUGUUUUCUCGAAAAUCAAUUAAAAAUGGCUCGAUUUUGUAUUGUUGAGACCUUAAAAGCUCACUGUACAUUUUUCGUGUCUUUUUUAAUGCACUUUUCGUCUAACAAGUCAACAUCAGUUUCUUUUGUUGUAAAAGGGUCAUUGGAAGGUGGCUUUCUUUUCGGAGAAAGUGUUUAUAGCCUUUGGCCUCUGCAAUCGGAAGAGACUGAGGUCUGCAGCGUAGACUCUUCGGGGUUAGAUACAUUUGUGCUAAGUUAUAGCUUUUUAUAGACAACUUGUUGACUAUAAUUAGUCUUGUAGCUUACUCGCUUAUGCUAUUUUACCUACGCUUAGGAUGUUGAAGAUGUAGCACAUCAU